Molecule: long non-coding RNA, 370 nt
Organism: Phascolarctos cinereus (koala)
Lineage: Eukaryota; Metazoa; Chordata; Mammalia; Diprotodontia; Phascolarctidae
Source: RefSeq, a predicted model, not a curated record
ACAUAGGAAACAGCUUGCUAGACCACUCACUCUUAGUGUUUGCCAUCCACCAGGAAGGGAGCAGUCCUGUAGGAAGCCCCAGCUCACAAAAAAAAAAAGGAAAUCAAGAACCCUGAGAGCAGCAGAACAGCUCAAUGACAACACGAGGACUUUCUGACCCGCCUGUGAUGCAUCUAUCCACCUAACUACAAUGGCACCAUGCUGGGGACAACUACAGAAUCUGCAGCAGUCAGAAAAGCCAGUUCUUCGGGUAUGUGCUGGACUAGUUGGUCACAAAUGGCCCUCUGAACUCUAAAAUUCUGUGAUUCUGAGCAACAGGCCACUAGCAAAGCUAAAGAUCUCCUGAUGUAAGAAAUCAUUCUGACAUCUA